GACGAACGCUGGCGGCGUGCUUAACACAUGCAAGUCGAACGGAAAGGCCCUGCUUUUGUGGGGUGCUCGAGUGGCGAACGGGUGAGUAACACGUGAGUAACCUGCCCUUGACUUUGGGAUAACUUCAGGAAACUGGGGCUAAUACCGGAUAGGAGCUCCUGCUGCAUGGUGGGGGUUGGAAAGUUUCGGCGGUUGGGGAUGGACUCGCGGCUUUUCAGGUUGUUGGUGGGGUAGUGGCUUACCAAGGCUUUGACGGGUAGCCGGCCUGAGAGGGUGACCGGCCACAUUGGGACUGAGAUACGGCCCAGACUCCUACGGGAGGCAGCAGUGGGGAAUAUUGCACAAUGGGCGGAAGCCUGAUGCAGCAACGCCGCGUGCGGGAUGACGGCCUUCGGGUUGUAAACCGCUUUCGCCUGUGACGAAGCGUGAGUGACGGUAAUGGGUAAAGAAGCACCGGCUAACUACGUG
This 468-nucleotide ribosomal RNA is filed under the name uncultured bacterium. RNAcentral describes it as "partial 16S ribosomal RNA". It matches the Rfam family "Bacterial small subunit ribosomal RNA", at positions 28 to 507 of the family's 1533-position model. The record is from RNAcentral.